ACGAAGGGUGCGAGCGUUAAUCGGAAUUACUGGGCGUAAAGCGCGCGUAGGUGGUUUGGUAAGCGAUAUGUGAAAUCCCCGGGCUUAACCUGGGAACUGCAUGUCGAACUGCCAGGCUAGAGUAUUGGAGAGGGUAGCGGAAUUCACGGUGUAGCAGUGAAAUGCGUAGAUAUCGUGAGGAACACCAGAGGCGAGGGCGGCUACCUGGACAAUUACUGACGCUCAGGCACGAAAGCGUGGGGAGCAAAAGGGA
RNAcentral lists this ribosomal RNA (253 nucleotides) under uncultured prokaryote. RNAcentral describes it as "partial 16S ribosomal RNA". It matches the Rfam family "Bacterial small subunit ribosomal RNA", at positions 525 to 777 of the family's 1533-position model. The record is from RNAcentral.